This 831-nucleotide ribosomal RNA is filed under the name uncultured Bacteroidota bacterium. RNAcentral's name for it is "bacterial SSU rRNA". It matches the Rfam family "Bacterial small subunit ribosomal RNA", at positions 26 to 846 of the family's 1533-position model. The record is from RNAcentral. Lineage: Bacteria; Pseudomonadati; Bacteroidota.
AGGAUGAACGCUAGCUAUAGGCUUAACACAUGCAAGUCGAGGGGAAACGGCAUUAUGUGCUUGCACAUUUUGGACGUCGACCGGCGCACGGGUGAGUAUCGCGUAUCCAACCUUCCCUCCACUCGGUGGAUACCCCGUUGAAAGACGGCCUAAUACCCGAUGUUGUCACAUAUGGCAUCUGACGUGGACCAAAGAUUCAUCGGUGGAGGAUGGGGGUGCGUCUGAUUAGCUUGUUGGUGCGGGUAACGGCCCACCAAGGCGACGAUCAGUAGGGGUUCUGAGAGGAAGGUCCCCCACAUUGGAACUGAGACACGGUCCAAACUCCUACGGGAGGCAGCAGUGAGGAAUAUUGGUCAAUGGACGGAAGUCUGAACCAGCCAAGUAGCGUGCAGGAUUGACGGCCCUAUGGGUUGUAAACUGCUUUUGUUGGGGAGUAAAGUGAGGCACGCGUGCCUUUUUGCAUUUACCCUUCGAAUAAGGACCGGCUAAUUCCGUGCCAGCAGCCGCGGUAAUACGGAAGGUCCAGGCGUUAUCCGGAUUUAUUGGGUUUAAAGGGAGUGUAGGCGGUCUGUUAAGCGUGUUGUGAAAUUUAGGUGCUCAACAUUUAACUUGCAGCGCGAACUGGCGGACUUGAGUGCACGCAACGUAUGCGGAAUUCAUGGUGUAGCGGUGAAAUGCUUAGAUAUCAUGACGAACUCCGAUUGCGAAGGCAGCGUACGGGAGUGUUACUGACGCUUAAGCUCGAAGGUGCGGGUAUCGAACAGGAUUAGAUACCCUGGUAGUCCGCACGGUAAACGAUGGAUGCCCGCUGUUAGCGCCUGGCGUUAGCGG